CCGUCGGGAAAUCCACUCGCCUAACGAGUGGGCGUCCGGCGGAAACUACAGGGCUUGGGACCGGAAGACUUGAGGGGUACGUCUGGGGUAGGAGUGAAAUCCUGUAAUCCUGGACGGACCGCCGAUAGCGAAAGCACCUCAAGACGACGGAUCCGACAGUGAGGGACGAAAGCUAGGGUCUCGAACCGGAUUAGAUACCC
Molecule: ribosomal RNA, 200 nt
Filed under: uncultured archaeon
Lineage: Archaea
Description: partial 16S ribosomal RNA
Rfam family: Archaeal small subunit ribosomal RNA
Source: RNAcentral